AAUUAUAUAACUUAUAUAAAGUGUUAGAUUCUUACUCUAAAAAAGUCUGUUGACUAUAAUUA
This 62-nucleotide transfer RNA is filed under the name Megalobenedenia derzhavini. Its description in RNAcentral is "tRNA-Lys". The record is from RNAcentral. Lineage: Eukaryota; Metazoa; Platyhelminthes; Monogenea; Capsalidea; Capsalidae.